UAUUUUAUGUAUACAGACUAUAACUACGUUAAAGUGUAGAUAAUAUGUAUACAGUAAGAGUAAGACCUAUCAGCUAGUUGUUAAGGUAAUGGCUUAACAAGGCAGUGACGGGUAACGGUAUUACUUUGUAAUAUUCCGGAGAAGGAGCCUGAGAGACGGCUACUAAGUCUAAGGAUUGCAGCAGGGGCGAAACUUGACCUAUGGAUUUAU
This 210-nucleotide ribosomal RNA is filed under the name Nosema sp. RNAcentral describes it as "partial small subunit ribosomal RNA". It matches the Rfam family "Microsporidia small subunit ribosomal RNA", at positions 104 to 317 of the family's 1311-position model. Lineage: Eukaryota; Fungi; Microsporidia; Nosematidae. The record is from RNAcentral.